RNAcentral lists this long non-coding RNA (1016 nucleotides) under Scleropages formosus (Asian bonytongue). Its description in RNAcentral is "lncRNA (ENSSFOG00015033354.1)". Lineage: Eukaryota; Metazoa; Chordata; Actinopteri; Osteoglossiformes; Osteoglossidae. The record is from RNAcentral.
ACCACCCACGUGCUCUAUUAGCGCCAUUCAAGAGUACGGGGUUGUGCAGUGAGCAACAGCGCCCCCUUUCACCGCCCCGUCUAGCUGCCCUUUAACUGCAGGGGCGCGAGUUACACCAUAGAGCGUCACUGAUGUGUGAGCGAAAGACAGCAAACACUCGGGGAAAGCAGUCCACCAUGGCCAGCAUUGAAGUGGAGGAGGACAGUGAGCUGGAAACGCCUCUCUUCAGGCAGUACCAUGCCAGCGAAAUGCUUCCAAGCAAGAAGCUUCCACUCCACAAUCUGCUUGUGAAACAGCCCAUGUCCAUGGGGUUUUUCAUUUCAGGACUGUUGUCUUUCCUGCUGUUCAAAUUUCCUGUACUGCUGCCUAUUUCUUACACUGUCAACAUUGGCAGUCUGGUUGUUGCAGUCACUGGAAUGGUGCUGCUGACUUUUGAUUUGUUCUCCUGGAAGUCAAGUAAUAGUCAAUACGAGGACUACAACCGGGUGACAGCCCUCAUCCUGACUGUGACUCUGCUGGAGAUUUGCAUCACCGCUGUGCUUCUGCGAUGGCUGCAUGUGGAGUACAAGGGGGGCUCGGUGGCUUCGAAAAACUCGAGUGGCUCUUGAGUCGAAGAGCUGGAGAGAUCAUUGUUAGCGUUGCACCUUUGCCACAGGGUGCUCGUCUGUAAACUCAGUGGCCUUUACUGCAAACGCUUUUAUGCUGUGUAUUUCAGCUCGCCAGCAUUCACUGAUCGUUUCAAAAAUCUGAAUUUUAAGCCAGAAGAUUUUAAAAUGUAUUUUCUCAAUUAAAAUUAUAUCUAUCGAAACAGUAGCUUUUUUAGGAUUUCCAUUUUAAGUGGUUAAAUAACCCAUUUUUCAUUGAUCCUGUGUGAGAGACUAGGAAUGAAAGGUUAAAAGCUGUUGUGACUGUUGACUGUAUGCUGCAUUAUCAAUUGUUAUUCAGCUGCUCAAGAAGCAUAUAUAUAUAUAUUUUUUUUUAAUAAAGACCAAGUAAUGGGUCCUUUUAAGAACUUU